UUAUAUUUUAGUGGGGGCGAAAUAGGAUCGACGAGAGCGUAAAGAUUGCUUUUUUACUCGGCAUAGUACCACCGUUAUCGGACUAAAUGAUUAGUUGCAAAUGACAACUAUGCGGAAGCACGUCACGCUGCUUGAUGCAGUGCGAAUGUUUCAAAUUAAGUCUUAAAUGUUCGCCAGA
This 178-nucleotide transfer-messenger RNA is filed under the name Bartonella sp. RNAcentral's name for it is "partial ssrA". It matches the Rfam family "Alphaproteobacteria transfer-messenger RNA", at positions 136 to 309 of the family's 355-position model. From Rfam's summary of the family: Bacterial tmRNA, also known as 10Sa RNA or SsrA, is named for its dual tRNA and mRNA-like properties. The record is from RNAcentral. Lineage: Bacteria; Pseudomonadati; Pseudomonadota; Alphaproteobacteria; Hyphomicrobiales; Bartonellaceae.